Molecule: non-coding RNA, 373 nt
Organism: Paramuricea clavata
Lineage: Eukaryota; Metazoa; Cnidaria; Anthozoa; Malacalcyonacea; Plexauridae
Source: the annotation of a GenBank genome assembly
GGUCGGCUAUUGCUAUCACUAUAUGUUUUAGCUGUGAAAGUUAAUUUACGGUUAAGAUGUCAUUUCUAUAAGGAUAAAAUUACACACUACACUGCAAUGUUGUUCAUUGCUGUUUCUAUAAAGAGCAGCGUUUGCUUUUGCUAUAUGCUUUUUGCUAAGAUGUCAUUUCUACAAGGGUGACAUACGGAAACUGUACUGCAAUAUUGAUUGGUUGAUUAACACUUGUGUCACCUCGUAUUGUAACGCGCUUUUGAUUGGUUAGACAUUGUCGGUUAAAUACAAAGAGCAGCUUGCAGCCUCAAAGGCUUUUUUCCAUCCAAAUAUUUCAGUGCUGUUUCUAUAAAGGCAGCGUGCUGUUGCUAUAUGUCUUAGC